Cinara cedri is the source of this 205-nucleotide non-coding RNA. Lineage: Eukaryota; Metazoa; Arthropoda; Insecta; Hemiptera; Aphididae. The record is from the annotation of a GenBank genome assembly.
AUGUUGAAAAUUUCAUAGAAAAUCGUUUGUAAAUAAAAACUAGAAAAGUAUUAUUAAUUUUAACGAUAUCUACCUACCUACGGUUUCAGUGUAAUUUCACAUUUACAAUGCCGAUAUAAUUUUAGGUGCAUUAUUUCAAUAACCAGAACAUUUAAGUCUUAAAAAUAUGAGUCCGCCUUAUCUAAGUUAUAUUAUACAUAUAGAG